This 445-nucleotide ribosomal RNA is filed under the name uncultured bacterium. RNAcentral's name for it is "partial 16S ribosomal RNA". It matches the Rfam family "Bacterial small subunit ribosomal RNA", at positions 354 to 796 of the family's 1533-position model. The record is from RNAcentral.
GUGAGGAAUAUUGGUCAAUGGGCGGGAGCCUGAACCAGCCAAGUCGCGUGAAGGAAGAAGGAUCUAUGGUUCGUAAACUUCUUUUGCAGGGGAAUAAAGUGCAGGACGUGUCCUGUUUUGUAUGUACCCUGAGAAUAAGGAUCGGCUAACUCCGUGCCAGCAGCCGCGGUAAUACGGAGGAUCCGAGCGUUAUCCGGAUUUCUUGGGUUUAAAGGGUGCGUAGGUGGUUUGAUAAGUCAGCGGUGAAAGUUUGCAGCUUAACUGUAAAAAUGCCGUUGAAACUGUCGGACUUGAGUGUAAAUGAGGUAGGCGGAAUGCGUGGUGUAGCGGUGAAAUGCAUAGAUAUCACGCAGAACUCCGAUUGCGAAGGCAGCUUACUAAGCUACAACUGACACUGAAGCACGAAAGCGUGGGGAUCAAACAGGAUUAGAAACCCUGGUAGUCC